GAAGGGAUAGCUCAUCGGUAGAGCAUUCGACUGCAGAUGGAGUGGUCCCCGGUUCAAACCCGGGAGUUUUCUUCA
RNAcentral lists this transfer RNA (75 nucleotides) under Trichonephila inaurata madagascariensis. RNAcentral describes it as "tRNA-Cys". It matches the Rfam family "tRNA". From Rfam's summary of the family: Transfer RNA (tRNA) molecules are approximately 80 nucleotides in length. Their secondary structure includes four short double-helical elements and three loops (D, anti-codon, and T loops). Lineage: Eukaryota; Metazoa; Arthropoda; Arachnida; Araneae; Nephilidae. The record is from RNAcentral.